UAAGACGUAGGGGGCGAGCGUUGUCCGGAGUUACUGGGCGUAAAGGGCGCGCAGGCGGUUGCAUUGGCCAUUACGUGAAAGCCCCCGGCUUAACCGGGUGGAUGCGGGUGGGACCAUGCGGCUGGAGGAUGGUAGGGGCCAGUGGAAUUCCCGGUGUAGUGGUGAAAUGCGUAGAUACCGGGAGGAACACCCGCAGCGAAGGCGGCUGGCUGGGCCAUUCCUGACGCUGAGGCGCGAAGGCCAGGGGAGCGAACGGGAUUAGAUACCCCGGUAGUCCUGGCAGUAAACGAUGUCGACUGGGUGUGGGGAGGGCUCGACUCUUCCCGUGCCGGAGCUAACGCGGUAAGUCGACCGCCUGGGGAGUACGGCCGCAAGGCUA
RNAcentral lists this ribosomal RNA (379 nucleotides) under uncultured bacterium. RNAcentral describes it as "bacterial SSU rRNA". It matches the Rfam family "Bacterial small subunit ribosomal RNA", at positions 521 to 896 of the family's 1533-position model. The record is from RNAcentral.